GAUGAACGCUGGCGGCGUGCCUAAUACAUGCAAGUCGAGCGAACAGACGAGGAGCUUGCUCCUCUGACGUUAGCGGCGGACGGGUGAGUAACACGUGGAUAACCUACCUAUAAGACUGGGAUAACUUCGGGAAACCGGAGCUAAUACCGGAUAACAUGUUGAACCGCAUGGUUCAACAGUGAAAGACGGUCUUGCUGUCACUUAUAGAUGGAUCCGCGCCGCAUUAGCUAGUUGGUAAGGUAACGGCUUACCAAGGCAACGAUGCGUAGCCGACCUGAGAGGGUGAUCGGCCACACGGGAACUGAGACACGGUCCAGACUCCUACGGGAGGCAGCAGUAGGGAAUCUUCCGCAAGGGGCGAAAGCCGGACGGAGCAACGCCGCGUGAGUGAAGAAGGUCUUCGGAUCGUAAAACUCUGUUAUUAGGGAAGAACAAAUGUGUAAGUAACUAUGCACGUCUUGACGGUACCUAAUCAGAAAGCCACGGCUAACUACGUG
Molecule: ribosomal RNA, 497 nt
Filed under: uncultured bacterium
Lineage: Bacteria
Description: partial 16S ribosomal RNA
Rfam family: Bacterial small subunit ribosomal RNA
Source: RNAcentral